GACGAACGCUGGCGGCGUGCUUAACACAUGCAAGUCGAACGGUGAACUCCGCUUGCGGGGGGAUCAGUGGCGAACGGGUGAGUAACACGUGGGCAACCUUCCCUCAGCUCUGGGAUAACUCCAAGAAAUUGGGGCUAAUACCGGAUAUGACCGCUGACCGCAUGGUCUGGUGGUGGAAAGAUUUAUCGGCUGGGGAUGGGCCCGCGGCCUAUCAGCUUGUUGGUGGGGUAGUGGCCUACCAAGGCGACGACGGGUAGCCGGCCUGAGAGGGUGACCGGCCACACUGGGACUGAGACACGGCCCAGACUCCUACGGGAGGCAGCAGUGGGGAAUAUUGCGCAAUGGGCGAAAGCCUGACGCAGCGACGCCGCGUGGGGGAUGACGGCCUUCGGGUUGUAAACCUCUUUCAGCAGGGACGAAGCGAAAGUGACGGUACCUGCAGAAGAAGCACCGGCCAACUACGUG
This 465-nucleotide ribosomal RNA is filed under the name uncultured bacterium. RNAcentral describes it as "partial 16S ribosomal RNA". It matches the Rfam family "Bacterial small subunit ribosomal RNA", at positions 28 to 507 of the family's 1533-position model. The record is from RNAcentral.